CGCACCUUGCGCUCUUUGGUAUUCCGAAGAGCAUGCCUGUUUGAGUGUCAUUAAAUUCUCAACUCCACCAGUUUGCGAAAACCGGUGAAGCUUGGAUGUGGAGGUUUUGCAGGUCCGUCACCGGUCUGCUCCUCUGAAAUGUAUUAGCAGGUUAAGCUACCUGUCUAUUGGUGUGAUAAUUAUCUACAUCGUGGACUAGGAUCAGCAAUAAAUUGACCAGCUUCUAAUCGUCCGCAAGGACAAUUACUUGACAAACUUGACCUCAAAUCAGGUAAGACUACCCGCUGAACUUAA
RNAcentral lists this unclassified non-coding RNA (294 nucleotides) under Coprinopsis igarashii. Its description in RNAcentral is "partial contains 5.8S ribosomal RNA, internal transcribed spacer 2, and large subunit ribosomal RNA". Lineage: Eukaryota; Fungi; Basidiomycota; Agaricomycetes; Agaricales; Psathyrellaceae. The record is from RNAcentral.